Molecule: ribosomal RNA, 399 nt
Filed under: uncultured Mucor
Lineage: Eukaryota; Fungi; Mucoromycota; Mucoromycetes; Mucorales; Mucoraceae
Description: partial small subunit ribosomal RNA
Rfam family: Eukaryotic small subunit ribosomal RNA
Source: RNAcentral
GCUUGUCUCAAAGAUUAAGCCAUGCAUGUCUAAGUAUAAACGAAUCUAUACUGUGAAACUGCGUACGGCUCAUUAAACCAGUUAUAGUUUAUUUGAUAUUCCCCUACUACUCGGAUAACCGUAGUAAUUCUAGAGCUAAUACGUGCGUAAAGCGGCAUAUGCCGUGUCAUUAUUAGAUAAAGCCAACGCUGGGUAAAACCAGUUUCCCUUGGUGAUUCAUAAUAAUUAAGCGGAUCGCAUGGCCUUGUGCUAGCGACAGUCCACUCGAUUUUCUGCCCUAUCAUGGUUGAGAUUGUAAGAUAGAGGCUUACAAUGCCUACAACGGGUAACGGGGAAUUAGGGUUCGAUUCCGGAGAGGGAGCCUGAGAAACGGCUACCACAUCCAAGGAAGGCAGCAGG